This 373-nucleotide ribosomal RNA is filed under the name uncultured organism. Its description in RNAcentral is "partial 16S ribosomal RNA". It matches the Rfam family "Bacterial small subunit ribosomal RNA", at positions 528 to 896 of the family's 1533-position model. The record is from RNAcentral.
GGGGGGGCAAGCGUUUGUUCGGAUUUACUGGGCGUAAAGGGCUCGUAGGCGGCCACCUAAGUCGGUUGUGAAAUCCCUCGGCUUAACCGGGGAACUGCGACCGAUACUGAGUGGCUUGAAGCCGGGAGAGGGAUGCGGAAUUCCAGGUGUAGCGGUGAAAUGCGUAGAUAUCUGGAGGAACACCCGUGGCGAAGGCGGCAUCCUAGACCGGUCUUGACGCUGAGGAGCGAAAGCUAGGGGAGCGAACGGGAUUAGAUACCCCGGUAGUCCUAGCCCUAAACGAUGAAUGCUUGGUGUGGCGGGUAUCGAUCCCCUGCCGUGCCGUAGCUAACGUGUUAAGCAUUCCGCCUGGGGGAGUACGGUCGCAAGGCUG